GCGCUUUCUUGAACACUGCCUAACAUGUAGUUCAAAAUAUUUUAGAUUGCCAAACAAAUAAAUAAUUAUGCAAAUUUAACGCCGAUGAAAUAUUCCGAAUCUACACAUUUCAGUAAGUUUUAAAUAUAUUAUAGCUAAAUUAUAGUAACUUUUAAAAUUGUAUUAACUAAUUAUUCGCGUCUUCUAAACUUUAGCAACUAACACGGAUUUGAAAAUUAAGAAUUUAUGUUUAAAAUAUAUUAUUACCAUAUCUCAUCAUAAUAAGCACAUUCUAGAAUUAUACCAUUUCACCAAACUGACUCCAUUAGUUCUAUAAAUACAAACCUCUACUCAAGAUCUAAUAUACCACUUGAAUUAUUCAAACACACAAAAAAAAAAACUCAAUCCCAAAUUUAGUGUAUCACUUUGAUCCCAAAGUGUCCAAGCUUAAUUCUCUUUAUUCUUAUGCAUUGUUUAUCAGAAUAUGAAACUAAUGUCACCAUUGUCGUUAUAUGAAACAGGAUGAAGAAGACAUCGAAUAGAAGGAGGCCUAGACCAUCUCUCAACUCUCAAACCCGAAAUUCAUGAGGAAUUGUUUUUCAUAUAAUUUCUCAAGAAAUUAGAAACUUACUUGGAUCAUGCGGAGAACCAUAUACGACUUAUCCAAUAAUCAUAUCUUUUCUCCUGCAAGGAUAUGAGCUUUUAAAGGAAUGAGAGUUGUCACGCCAAUUAGAAGUUCAAAGAAACUUAAAAGUAAAUUCUUCAGGUUCAUGUAAGAGUUUCUAUUUAAAAGACGUUUUUUUCUAUAUGUAUACAUUCAGCAGAUGUUUGAAAGAUCAGUGGUUGUUAUUUUACUAAUCAAGUUUUGUUUCA
Long non-coding RNA from Camelina sativa (false flax), 852 nucleotides. RefSeq lists it as uncharacterized. NCBI's taxonomy places the organism in Eukaryota, Viridiplantae, Streptophyta, Magnoliopsida, Brassicales, Brassicaceae. The record is from RefSeq and is a predicted model, not a curated record.